Molecule: long non-coding RNA, 1085 nt
Filed under: Mus musculus (house mouse)
Lineage: Eukaryota; Metazoa; Chordata; Mammalia; Rodentia; Muridae
Description: myeloid RNA regulator of BCL2L11 induced cell death
Source: RNAcentral
GGUGACUUUGCAGUGUCUGCUUUCUAAGUUUCAAAGUGACUUUCCAGGCAAGCUGCGCAUAUCUUGGGAUCUUCACAGCACAGUGGCUGGGAAGGCAGGCGGACCCGUCUAUCAGCUUCUCCCUGAAGACUACCAAAGCAAACCAGAGGACCAGAGAACAGCAGCUGCUCUGGACAAAGAGGGGAGGACACCCACACCCACAUACCAAGUUCUGGUUGACUUCUACAGCAGAAGAAGCAGGAGACACAAGAAGGGGAAGACACAAGGAAGCUGGGCAUGAUGGCCAAGUGUUAGAGGGUUACACUACUGCCUUCUGCUUCUGAUCUGAUUGAGUCACAGCUGAGAUGUGGCACCAGGACUCUUGGCUACACUCAGUUCUCUCAGUUUGACUGAGUACUCUGGGAUCACAGAAGUGACUACAUGAUGCUUCAGGCCCAAAGCAACAGGGCCCACCAGCCAUAGACAGAACUGUCUGAAGCUGUGAGCCCAAAGAAAUUCCUCCAUCUUGUUUUCCUGGGACUCUGUCACACUGAUGAAAAGUUCUAUGAUUCUAGGCUUUAGUAAGAAGGCCUUCGGAAUCUCCAAAGAAACCAAACGUGUACGUGGGAAGAAGUGUACUUGGUUCGUGUGAUUAUGGAGUCUGACAAGUUCAAAAUCUUCAGUGAGAGCUGUCUGGCUGUAUUCACGAAGAACCGAUGCCAUACUGUCUGGCUGGCAUUAGAGCCCUCUGGAUGCUGUGUGAGCUGCAUGUGAGUUUUGUGAGUUAUGAGUCACAGGUGGCUCCAACCCUGCUUUCUGUCCUUCAGUCUCCCAUUCAGCACCCAACAGAAGAUGCUAGGCACCACUCUGCAUCCUCAAGGGAUAUCGUAUGAAGCAAGAGGCAGGUUUUCUUGGGUCCACAGCAACAUCAAAAAAGAGCAAAACGGACAUGCAAAUAAAUCUAUUUUAGCAUUUGAGACAGACGUCCAACUGAGGAACAUGAUCAGAAGAUGCCAGCCAGUAUAAACAUAUUUUGAAAAUAUGUAUUUCAUUUCUUAUAUAUGUACAUUUGUUCUCGUCGAAAAUAAAGAUCAAAUCAAAUUUCA